UUCCCCCUCUUCUUCAUCUGUUGGAGGUUGGGGAAAAGUAGAGUAUACCCAUUAUUGAGUUUGAAAAAGGUUAGGAAAAAGUUGAAAAACAAAACAGUCUGAGAAUAGAUAGAAAAGCCGGAGAUAAUUCAGGGAGGGGGUAAAUUUCAUCUUUUUAGAUUCCGUUUCUUUAAUAUUACAUAUAGGAAUUGAUUUGUUAUUUUUUUUAGAAAAAAAGGGGCACUCAUUAGAGUAGAAGCAAAACAGAGAGAUAUAGGCCCUCAAGAAAAAUUUUGAAUUCUAUAGUAAUUGAGUUAAGAGCUUCGAAUCUGGAGCUCUCAUCCUAAGAUCUCUGUUCUUUUCGACGGAAAAUUCCAUUGGAGUUCCUUUCGCGUGGUGGUGGAAAGAUUCUCAACUCGUGUCUCAGUGUUGUUGCUCCAGAAGAGGUAAACUCUCCUGCGAGUAUUAGGAGCUACUGGUCACUCAAAAAUAGUGAGCAUUUGACUCUAUAUUUCUUUUAGUACUCUGUUUGGGGUUUUGUAUCUCAUUCAGUGCCAUUUUGAUCUCUCCACAUUAGCGUCUUGCUAUGUUUCUCAUGUUUCUUUUCGAGUUUCAUUUAAAUUGUUAUAGUUGUUGAUGUUAUAUUUAUGUUGUCUGCUCAAAAUUCUUAGAUUAAUAUUGAAAUCAUGCUCUCGAAUCCAUGAUUAAGACCUUGGCCGAGUCGUAUGUUUUUAAUUGUUCUUCGCUUUGAAUCUGCAUAGCUGAAUAUAUGUUGAAUUCGAUUUGCUUGUUCCUUGUUUUGUUUUCAACAUGCUCCUUUGUUUGGAUUGUUUAAUACUUUGACUAGAUUGUAUCCCUUUCCCUUUGUAACUCUAUAUAUUUUAGCUCAUCUUGCCAUAGUUUAACUAAUUAUUUGAGGAUUCACUAUUGGCUAUUCAAAUCUUAUCUUUGUUGUUUGUGUUUUGCAUCCACUGAAAGAGUCAUUAGUGGGGCACCUUAUUUCGACUUUGCUCCUUGAGAUCUCUUUAAGAAAGUUAAAAUAUGCAUUUCCUAGAGUUUUUAGUUUUAUACUUAAGCUUAAUAUAUAUCCUUUAAGAUCUUAACUUUUCUGUUUUGUUGGUGUUAAGUUCCUUUAAAUGUUUUCCCUUGUGUUAAAAAGUUAUCAAAACAUUCUAGUGCUUUCAUAUCUCUGAAUGAUGUUAUGAGGCUAUGCCAAUGAACCCCCUGUUUGGUUAUUAUCUUAGGAGAUUUGGUGUCUAAGUUAUUAGUAGUUGUAUUGUCAUCUACUAAGUUUAGUAACUCCAAUUUGCUCUCUGUUAUAAUGAGUUUCGAAAGAAAUUCCAUAUGUGGGAAGUGCAAAUCUUUGCAGUUUUUAAUAUGUGGUUGUUUGUUAGUAUAUGAGCAUUACAUGUGUCUUUGAAAUUUUAAUUUAGGUUCAUUUGAAAAUGAUCAUCUUUAACAACAUAUUUAUAUGUUAGAUUAUUCCUACAUUUUAUUUAAUGUUAAAGCUGUUAAGUUUUGAUCAUUAAUUGCUUCUUUUUUUUUUGCUCUCUCGUUUCUCUUUUCAUGAAAACUUCAUCCGAUUUGCCAUGAACUCUAAUCAUUCCCUUUGCAUUUUGGGAGAGCCAUAAAGUCUCAAUUUCCCCUCUUAUCGAGUCAGCCCCUUUUCUGAGUUGAAGAAUCGAAGAGCAGGUUCUCAAAAUUUGAUGUACAGGUGUUCAAGAGUCCAAGAAGGUUUAUAUACAGCAGUAUACACGAGAUAUACAUCCAUAUAUAGUGACAUACCUUCUCUGUAUUCGCUGUAUAAAUGUAGAGAAAUGGGCCCCAAAAGCUCUAAAAUUUUAGCUUUGAUUUUGUAUUGGAAAAUGACAGAAAUCCUACCUAUAAGUUCUCUUAUUACCAUUAUCCCCUAUUAGUUUUACAAAUCCCUAAAAUCCUUCAUUUAUGCGCAUCAUAUUAAUGUAUCAGCGCAUCAUAUUAAUGUAUCUCGCGCAUCAAAUUAGUGUAUCAUGUAUAAAAUGUACAUCAGAUGAGUGUAUCAUAUAUAAAAUAUAAUGUAUCUUACUUAACGAUUAAUGUAUCAACACUUAUAUUAUUGUAUCUGUUUGAGGGAUUUCUAUAAUUAUAAACUUAUAAGGAACAAAUGGUAAUUUUGCCUUAAAAGUGAUUUUUGUCCUAUGCCCUUUUGUAUUAAUUGGGUCUAAGCCCAUUUGUUGAUCUUUAUUUUGUUAGUUUAUGAUGGGUCGGAUUGGGCCCAAGGAAAGGAAAAUUUCAAAAAUAGUCUAGGAUAGGGAACUGGGCCAAGCUCAAGUGCUGGCCCAGACGGACAUAAAUCAGACAUGGGCCCAAAACACACACUCUUUUUGUUUAUUAUAUUUGUUUUUUAUUUGCACAAUUGUUUAUUUGUAGUCAAUUCUUAGAUUUUCCUAAUUUGAUUUCCCCAAAAGAGAUAAUUAAUUCGAGAUUUUCAAAAGAUCAAAUGAUUCUAUAAUUACUUAAGGUGCUUCGAAAUAUUUUACUUAAAAUUAUGUAUAGAAUUAUGUAUAGAAUGUAUUAGAUUGAUAAAUUCAUAUUGUUUUACUUUGGAUUCAUAGUAUAUUGUAAUUAUUAUAUUGAAUUGGUGAUCAUGGCCAUUAGUAAGUCACUUUGAGUAUUGAGUUGGAUUGAAUUGGUUAUGGAUUGAAUUGGUUAUGGAUCGAAGUUGAGAGAUUGAAUUGGUCAAACGCUGCCCUAAUUCUUUUUAUAUUAUGUAAUAUAGGUCUUCAAUUGUGAUUGUGAUUGGAAUGCUCCAUUUAUGGUGGCUGUGCUUAUGUGUUAUAUUUGUAAAUAAUGUGGCCCUGUCGGCAUUACUUUAUAAAUAGUGAUAUUGUCAUGUUUAGACUUGAUUAUGAUCAAUGUGAAGGACUAUGUGAUAUAUGUGUGUGAGUGAGAUUGAACUCUCAUAAUUGGCUAUAUGUGAUCUUGAUAGACUAGGGUGAUGUCUCUAGUUGUGUUACUAGUGUGUCUUGAUAGGUUAAGUUGGUUAUUCCUACAUAAUACUUGAACACUAUUGUAUAUGUGAUAUGGAGAUGAUGUAUGUGUCUUGAUUGGUAGACUAUGUCCCUAAUCAAAAUGCACCUUUGUCUUGUAUGUGUAUGAAUGAAUGUUGAAUGAAAGUCUACAAUCGAUAGAAUGAAGAAAUGGUACCUUUGUAAGUAUGACUUAUAUGUGGAACCUUCUAUAUAGAAAGAAGGUUAUGAAUGAGCUAUCCUUAUGGACCAUUGAGUGGCAUUCCUAGUGGGCCCAUCUUUGGUAGGUGCAUUUUGAUUAGGUAAUGACUAAGAGAUGGUACCUUUUCAUAUACCCUUAUUUGAAUGAACAUUACUUUAUGAGAACAAAGGCUAGCAUCGAGUGAAUAUGUUAUGGGUUGUAUCUUUACUUAAGAAGGAGACUAGAGUGCAAUGUGUAUCUAUUUGAGAAAGAGACUAGAGUGCAUAAAAGACCUUGAUAUUCCUUAACAAUGGGCCUAUAUGAGAUGUGUCCUAGUUCUAUCCUUUGCAAGUAGAACACCCUCCAUCAGAGUAGCUAAUAUGUUCUAUGUCUGUUAUUGCCUAUACGCAUCAUGUGGGAUACAUUCUAAUAUUUGAUAAUUUUUAUAACAUUUAGGUAGUGGAAUAGGAUGCUAUCUAGACAUGGCAUGAGUAAGCUUUGAUGGUGCUAGAGUGUAGGUUCCCUAGCUCUUUCUAAGACCAUUAUGUGAAGUCCUUAAUGAAUGUAAUGUCUCUAAAUUGACUUAUGGAAUGAUUAUGACUUUAGCUAAUGUAUAUUGACUAGAAUGUCCUCUAUCUAGGGUAGCCUUAAGGGUUGCUUAGGUAAGCUUGAAGAGGGUGUAUGAGUGGUCUCUUCUUGUCCUACUUAGGUGAAUCUUGGAGUAACCUUAGAUGUUGAGUAAAUGAAAGGAAAAGGGAACAAUCUUAUCUUAGGAAGUCUUAAGGAUUGGUUUGGGUGGGCUUGAAGAGGGUGUAUGAGUGGUCUCUUCUUGUCUUACUUAAGUAAGUCUCAGGAUAACUUUCGGUGAGAGGUGUAUACAUUUAUGAUGUUGAUGCUAUAUUGUGGAAUGUGACUUAUAUGCACAUAUGUUGACUUGUAAGUGACUAUUAUACUUGUCUUAAAUGUUUUAUCAAAAAGAGCAUGUUUCAUACAAAAGUCUGUUUAUCAUGAUUUUAUGCAUGAUGCUAUACUUAGUACAUGCAUUGUACUAAUUCCAUACUUUUUGUCUAUCUCUAAAGGUGUAGGUGACAUUUGAGAUGAGUCUCGAAGUGGAAGCUUGGGUUAGUGUUAAUUCAAGAAAGAGUUGGUAUGUCCUCACUAGAUUCAAGGACAUAUUAAUGUUUAGAAUUCCUUAUUUAAAGUAUUGUAAUAGACUCAGCUAUUUUCCUAUAUGUUGAAGUAUGGGUCGUAUCCCAAUAUAUUCGUAUGUAUAAGAUGGAGACUUUGAGACUUAACCUUUCAUUAUGUUUUUCUAUAAAAGAG
Molecule: long non-coding RNA, 4491 nt
Filed under: Solanum lycopersicum (tomato)
Lineage: Eukaryota; Viridiplantae; Streptophyta; Magnoliopsida; Solanales; Solanaceae
Description: long non-coding RNA (SLYC_LNC000501)
Source: RNAcentral